AGUGCAUUACAGGCUCUUUGAGAUUUUCCUUCAAAUCAAAAUAUUUUUUCCUAUUAUAGCAGAUAUAAAAAGUAAACUUUACGAGUGUUCAACAAAAGCUCUUUCAGUCACUUUUUUCUGGAUACCUAGACACUGUGGCAUAAUAGGCAACGAUAGAGCCGUGCAAAUGAAGCUGUGGUGUGUGGUGUCAAAUAUACUCAGGAUUUAGCUGCUCUUCCUGGUCCCAGGGACUCUUGGGGUAAAGUCUGGGCAGAAAGUAGCCAAUUUAAAUGUACCUCUCUCAUUAAACUUGAUAAAAUUAUUACCACCAUAUUGAUAAGAAUGCGCCUUGGACACACCACUUGUCCGGCCCAUCUCGCAAGGUUUCAUAUUAUAGAUAGUCCACAAUGUGAAUGCGGACAUGACUUUGGGAUCUGGAUCACUUAUUCUUUUCCUGCCCUAAGUAUGACCGAACUUCCUUUUUAGAUAGUUUUAUAUCCAUCCGGGUCCCUUUCCCAACCUCUAUAAAAACCCACCUGAAUCAACAGAGAUUCUCCAUAUUGGAACGUAUAUAUCUAAAUAUAUUAAUAGCAACAAUACUAAAUUGUUAAUAAUGUAUAGUAGGUACCUAAUAUAUUUUAUCUGAAAAUAAUAGUUUUCAUCUAUUUUUUGUAUAUAUUUAUUUACCCACAUUUAUCUUAACCAAAUGAAAUGUCAAAAUCCUCGUGUUGUACAUUUUUGUAACGUGAUUCAUUUCCCUACGUUAAAAUAAAUAAAACCCUUUGAAGUAGAACAUGCAAGAAAACUUCCAAUGCGAAUCAAUGAACGAAAACUUGAAGCUGGCGGAUGCAUGGAAUGUGCGAGCCAGUCUCCAAAAAGGAGUGAAAUUAAAAAAAAGAAGUGUUGUGUUGUUGAACUGGGUUUAUUGUUAUUUAAUUUUAUUAUAGAAUAAAUAAAGCGUACAAAACCUUUCUUUGAUUAUGACGGAACGAAAGCGUUCUUCCCCUAUUUGGCAGUAUUUUGAAAGAAUUGGAACGGAUAAAAAAGCGCUUUGCUGUCUGUGCAACAAGUCCUUGUCUUAUAAAACUACCAUUGCAAAUCUCAAAUCCCAUCUAAAGUUAAAAUACUUUGCAACCUACACAACUUUUGUGUCAAAGAAGCCCGAAAAACAAGAAAUAAAUGAAAGUACACAAAAACCAAUGUCAUCUUCAGUUGGCAGUCUUUAUCUAGAUCUAGAUGAUGAACCAGAUAAUCAUGAGCCUGUAAUUAAAAAUGAAACAUGGGCACAUAAUACAAACUCCAGUAAGACAAAGACAAAAGGCUGUCAAAGUGAUUUACAGACAUCAAAUAACACUAACUGGUUAGAUAACAUAACUAUCAUAGACUCUGCAAAAGAAAAGGAUGAUGAAUUUCAUUUCAUAGGCAUGAACAUUGCUGCACAGCUACGAAGACUUCCAUUAUAUGUAGCUUUGCAGUUACAAACUGAGUUUCUACAUAAAUUAAAUUCUGCUAGAAUUGAAGAUCCAUUAUGUAAACCUUUUGAACAUUCUAGUUGACCAUAGAUAGAUCGAAAACAGAUUGAAAUGGCAUAUCUGUAACUGAGUUGAGCUAUGGGGGCAUUACCUUUCAAUCCAAUACCAGGAAAAAGGAGAUGCGAGUGAGUAGAACUGUUAAAAAAUUAUGUAAGUACCAUAUAACAUUUUAUAAAUUAGUAUUAUCAAGCAAAUUAAUUCAAAAAUUAAUAAAAAUGGUGUCCAAAUCUUUA
Molecule: long non-coding RNA, 1744 nt
Organism: Leptidea sinapis
Lineage: Eukaryota; Metazoa; Arthropoda; Insecta; Lepidoptera; Pieridae
Exons: 2
Source: RefSeq, a predicted model, not a curated record